RNAcentral lists this ribosomal RNA (606 nucleotides) under Lygistopterus sp. UPOL MT0061. RNAcentral describes it as "partial 16S ribosomal RNA". The stretch from base 381 to 539 matches the Rfam family "Bacterial large subunit ribosomal RNA", at positions 2473 to 2632 of the family's 2925-position model. Lineage: Eukaryota; Metazoa; Arthropoda; Insecta; Coleoptera; Lycidae. The record is from RNAcentral.
CAUGUCUUUUUGAUAAUAAUUUAAGGUUUAAUCUGCUCAAUGAUGAUAUUAAAUUGCCGCAGUAUUUUAACUGUGCGAAGGUAGCAUAAUAAUUAGUUUCUUGAUUAGAAGCUGGAAUGAAUGAUUGGACGAGAAAAUUACUGUCUCUUUUAGAUUGUUUAUUGAAUUUUAUUUUUAAGUUAAAAAGCUUAAAUUUUAAUAAAAGACGAGAAGACCCUAUAGAGUUUUAUAUUUAUUUUAUUAUUAAGAUUUAGUAAAUAUUUUAUUAAUUAAAUAUUUAGUUGGGGUGACUUAAAGAUUAAAAUAAUUCUUUAAAUUUUUAAUUGUUGAUAAAUAAUUUCUAAAUCUAGGUUUUUAAAUUUAAAAUUAAUUACCUUAGGGAUAACAGCGUAAUUUUUCUUUAAAGUUCUUAUUGAAAGAAAAUUUUGCGACCUCGAUGUUGGAUUAAAAUUAAUUUUUGGUGCAGUAACUAAAAAAUUAGGUCUGUUCGACCUUUAAAAUUUUACAUGAUCUGAGUUUAGACCGGCGUAAGCCAGGUCGGAUUCUAUCUUUAGUUUUUUUAUACAUUUUAGUACGAAAGGGCCAAAUGUGUAUUAUAAAUAAUUG